Molecule: ribosomal RNA, 254 nt
Filed under: uncultured bacterium
Lineage: Bacteria
Description: partial 16S ribosomal RNA
Rfam family: Bacterial small subunit ribosomal RNA
Source: RNAcentral
UACGUAGGGUGCGAGCGUUGUCCGGAUUUACUGGGCGUAAAGAGCGCGCAGGCGGUCGACCAAGUCGCGUGUGAAAGCCCCCCGGCUCAACUGGGGAGGGUCACGCGAUACUGAUCGACUCGAAGGCAGGAGAGGGUAGUGGAAUUCCCGGUGUAGUGGUGAAAUGCGUAGAUAUCUGGAGGAACACCGGUGGCGAAGGCGGCAUCCUGGACCGAGAUCGACGCUGAGGCGCGAAAGCUAGGGGAGCAAACGGG